UGAGGAAGAUAAUGACGGUACUCAACAAGGAAGUGACGGCUAACUACGUGCCAGCAGCCGCGGUAAAACGUAGGUCACAAGCGUUGUCCGGAAUUACUGGGUGUAAAGGGAGCGCAGGCGGGAAGACAAGUUGGAAGUGAAAUCUAUGGGCUCAACCCAUAAACUGCUUUCAAAACUGUUUUUCUUGAGUAGUGCAGAGGUAGGCGGAAUUCCCGGUGUAGCGGUGGAAUGCGUAGAUAUCGGGAGGAACACCAGUGGCGAAGGCGGCCUACUGGGCACCAACUGACGCUGAGGCUCGAAAGUGUGGGUAGCAAACAGGAUUAGAUACCCUGGUAGUCCACACCGUAAACGAUGAUUACUAGGUGUUGGAGGAUUGACCCCUUCAGUGCCGCAGUUAACACAAUAAGUAAUCCACCUGGGGAGUACGACCGCAAGGUUGAAACUCAAAGGAAUUGACGGGGGCCCGCACAAGCAGUGGAGUAUGUGGUUUAAUUCGACGCAACGCGAAGAACCUUACCAAGUCUUGACAUCCCUUGACGAACAUAGAAAUAUGUUUUCUCUUCGGAGCAAGGAGACAGGUGGUGCAUGGUUGUCGUCAGCUCGUGUCGUGAGAUGUUGGGUUAAGUCCCGCAACGAGCGCAACCCUUAUGGUCAGUUACUACGCAAGAGGACUCUGGCCGGACU
RNAcentral lists this ribosomal RNA (684 nucleotides) under Faecalibacterium prausnitzii. RNAcentral describes it as "bacterial SSU rRNA". It matches the Rfam family "Bacterial small subunit ribosomal RNA", at positions 440 to 1150 of the family's 1533-position model. The record is from RNAcentral. Lineage: Bacteria; Bacillati; Bacillota; Clostridia; Eubacteriales; Oscillospiraceae.